ACACGGAGGGCGCAAGCGUUGCUCGGAAUCACUGGGCGUAAAGCGGGUGUAGGCGGUCUAGCAAGUCAGAUGUGAAAGCCCACGGCUCAACCGUGGAAGUGCAUCUGAAACUGCUAGACUUGAGUGCCGGAGAGGGAAGUGGAAUUCCUGGUGUAGGGGUGAAAUCCGUAGAUAUCAGGAGGAACACCGGUGGCGAAGGCGACUUCCUGGACGGCCACUGACGCUGAGACCCGAAAGCGUGGGGAGCAAACAGAAUUAGAUACCCUAGUAGUCC
This 274-nucleotide ribosomal RNA is filed under the name uncultured bacterium. Its description in RNAcentral is "partial 16S ribosomal RNA". It matches the Rfam family "Bacterial small subunit ribosomal RNA", at positions 523 to 796 of the family's 1533-position model. The record is from RNAcentral.